RNAcentral lists this long non-coding RNA (201 nucleotides) under Elaeis guineensis (African oil palm). Its description in RNAcentral is "long non-coding RNA (EGUI_LNC038000)". The record is from RNAcentral. Lineage: Eukaryota; Viridiplantae; Streptophyta; Magnoliopsida; Arecales; Arecaceae.
UCCGCCAUUUAACUUCAAUGUGAAUAUGGAGAAUAGUUUUUUUUGAUCUGCUCCACAUUUCAAUGACUUAACAGACAUCCACUAUUAACAGCUAUGCUCACUUAGUUCCAUACAAGAAAUUAUGUUAAAUAAUUUAGAUUUUUAAUAUAAUAUAAUUAAUUUUUUUUAUUUAUAAUUAUCUUAAAUAAUUAUUAUUUUAUU